CCCGAGGCCACGCCUCCGUCCCCGGCGGGAGGCGGCCGGCCCCUAGUGGCAGCCGGGCAGAGUCUCUUAGGAAGUGCUGGCCGCCGGAAACCCGCUGCCGGGAGGUAGGUGCCAGUCGCGUCCCUCCAGGGCGCAGGGGCCAGGCGGGUGCCGGGCCGCGACAGCACAGUCCCGCUGAAGGGGGCUCAGGGUUCCUGUCUCUCAGGACCCCAGGUUCCCCCGCGCGGGACUCGGGCUGCAGGGGGCCGGGUCAGCGGGGGGCCUGUGCUCCCAGGUGGACUCCCCGAGGCCCCCCGGGGGCGCUGCCCGGAUCUGGGAAUUCCUCCCGGCCAACCGCAGAGGCGGCUGCUGUCCUGGGCACCCCGCCCCAGAGGCCCAGGCUGCGGGAGGCGGAGGCGCUGGGUGAGGGCUGGGGCCAGGUGAGGAGCGCGGGACGGCCGCGGGACGUCCACUCCGUCCCCUAUUCGCCACAAGGCUAUGCGUUGACUGUCCCCUACCGUCACGCAGGGCACACGCCCUGGGACCAGGAGCCGCCCUGGACUCUUCGGGGCCAUUCACCUGGCAACCUGCUGCGGUGGACCAGUCACCAGUCACACACGUCCUCUCCUUCCCAGGUGGCCCCUUGGCUGUGAAGACAGGCAAGAUCAGAGGGGCAGGUGCUGGCCUCGGGGGACCCCCAGGUGUGUGGCCAGGGACACAGAGACUGUGGGGAGGGGGGCACAACCCUCCGGCCUCCCGGUCUGUACCCCAGUCUUGUUCAGUGACCGGGAGGAGCGAGCUCAGGGAUGCACCUGUGUCAGGUGACGCCUAGGUUCUGGGCAGGUGGGAGAGUCCCCAGUGUCAGGACCUGCUGUGGUGGGUCACUGUCACCUGGUGUGAAGGUCUGGGGAAACCACAGUCCCCAUUAUUGCCAGGUGAGAAGGGUCUGGGGACAAGACAGUCCCCAUUGUCACCUGGUAUGUAGGUCUGGGGACAAGACAGUCCGCAUUGUCAUCUGGUGUGAAGGUCUGGGGACAGGACAAUCCCCACUGUCACCUGAUGUGAAUGUCUGGGGACAAGACAGUCCCCAUUGUCACCUGGUGUGAAGGGUCUGAAGACAAGACAGUCCCCACUGUCACCUAGUGUGAUGGUCUGGGGAUAAGACAGUCCCCAUUGUCACCUGGUGUAAAGGGGCUGUGGACAGGACAGUCCCCAUUGUGGUCUGGUGUGAGGGUCUGGGGACAGGACAGUCCCCUGUGUUGCCUGGUGUGAGGGUCUGAGGACAGGACAGUCCCCACUGUCGCCUGGUGUGGUGGUCUGGGGACAGGACAGUCCCCAUUGUCAUUUGGUGUGAGAGUCUGGGGAUAGGACAGUCCCCAUUGUUACCUGGUGUGAGGGUCUGGGGACAGGACAGUCCCCUGUGUUGCCUCCUCUGAUGGUCUGGGGACAAGCCAGUCCCCAGUGUUAGAACCUGCUGUGAUGGAGGGCCCUGGGGUGUGGGGACACUUUUCAGUGGCAGGAUAAGUUUCAGGUAUCUGGGGAUUUGGGGACUGUGGACACCUUUGCAUACACCCACCACCCAUCCACUCUGACUGUCCAUCCACCCACUCACACCCGUCUACUCAUCUGUCCAUCCUUCUACCAUCCAUUUACUCAUCCAUCUAUGCACCCACCCACCCAUCCACCCAUCUAUCUAUGCAUCUACCCUCUACCCACCUACUCACCCACCCAUCCAUCCACUAUCUAUCCACCCCCUUCCACCCAAUCUCUACCCAUCCACCCAUCCAUUCACCCACCCAUCCCCUAUCCACCCACCCAUCCACCCACCCAUCCACCUACCCUCGUCCCAUCCACUCAUUCUUAUGUCAUUCUUCUGUCACAGGUUGUAGGACUGAGAUCAAAGUCUGGAGGACCCCCAUAGCCCUUAACACCGACUUGGUUACAGUCUCGCUGAUGAUUCUGGUGGCCUGAGUUCCACCGAGGGGCAGGUGACAGCCUGUGGGCAGGCAGGGGUGUGCUGGUAGGUGGUCAGGAACCAGCUGUAUAGAAGGAAAGGCCCAUGUGUCCAUGUGUUGUCCACCAUGGGUGGGUGAGCUGGUGGGGGACACACACAUAGGUGGUCUACAGUGGGUGAGCUGGUGGGGGAGGUGCAUAGGUGGUCCACAGUGGGUGAGCUGGUGGGGGGAGGUGCACAUAGGUGGUCCACAGUGGGUGAGCUGGUGGUGGGGGAGAGAUGCGUGUGUAUGAGGUCUACCGCACAGAGCUGGUGGGAGGAAAUGCGCAUGCGUGGUCUACGGCCCGAGCUGGGGGGCAGAUGGGAGCUGGGGGGCAGAUGGCACCGCGCCCUUUACUGGGGUCCUGUGCGAUAAAGUAACCACACGCCCCAGUCUUUAGAGUAAGGUGCCCCAGAACUAAGCGGGUGGAUCUGGGUCUGGAUGUCGCAGACCCAUGUGAGGGAUUUGUAGCACACGAUCAACCAAAACCAGCGACAGGGCUGGGGGUGUAGCCCAGUUGGGGAGCCAUUGCCUGGCUCUUGGACCCCACGGUGCCUGAGAGCAGGGGACAGGGCAGGCGCCACCAGGCACCAGGGCUCAGGAGUGCAGGGUGGCUUGCAUACGCCGUCUUCUCCCUGUGUCUUCUCGGGGUCUCUCUCUGUGUGCGUCUAUGUUCUCAUCUCGUUUUCUUAUGAAGACACCAGUCCUGUGGGUCAGGGCCACCCUGGGGAGCUCACUGCACCUCCAUCACCUUUGCAAAGACUUGUCUCCACACACGGCACAUGCCAAGGUCCUGGGGCCAGGGCCGUAGCAGAGGAAUCUUAGGGAGACUGGGCUUAGCCCAUGACCAUGACCCUCCCUCCCUCCCUCCCUCCCUCUCCCCACAGCCCACCACACCAUCCCUCUCCUCCCAGGGAAAGUCUAUUGAUUGCAUUUUCCCCGGAGCCAGGACCCCUGUGUAACUAGCAGUUUAACAACAACAACAACAACAACAACAACAAAACCCUUUUCCUUUCUCAGGCUGCACGGUUGGCUUCCAAUGGGUGGGCAGGUGAGCGCUUCUGGAAGCUUCCGGAGCCUGCCCUGCGCAAAUGCCAAUGCGGACUGGAUGUCGGCGCUGUGUCCCCGGCUCUGGGAUGUGCCCCUGCACCACCUGUCCAUCCCAGGUGAGGCCGCUCAGGUGGGCGUCCCCAUGGUGGGUGGGUCCUGGUGGGGAACCGGCCGGGCCUGGUGCACCUGUGUGCAUGCGCGCGCGCACACAUGCACACACACACGCACACACACACACAGCUCGGAAGGUGGCAUAGGAGGGUGGGCGGUGGUUCAGGCGACGCCGGUUAGACAUGACUGAGGCAGCGUGGUUGCUGAUGGUUGUGAACGUGCCAUCCGUGUCACUCAGCAGAAAACGAAGUGUAAGAUGGUUUCCAUCAGCAGAUCUGCAGGGGACAGGCGCCAAGGAUGGGGAAACGGGCGCCCUCUGCCUGCGGGGAGGCUGCACCGCUAAAGUGGGGGUUGACAGCGGAUCCCUCUGUCCAAGUGCGCGCAUCUAAGCAGGAGACCCUUUGCACCGCUAGGAGAAAACCUAGGUCGGCGCUCGAUGGAGACCAGCAGGGCUCCUCGGGGGUCUGCAAAAGCCAGGACAUAAAGCCAAGAAUCGAUAGACGACAGACGGGAUGGCGCCCUGUUAAAAGCCUCUGCACAGCAAAGGCAGGGGUGUGAAGAGAGAGUCCUGCUGGCUUCUCGCACAGGUGGAAGCCAGGGGGGAAACAAAAAGCAAAACCCAAGGACAUUGUGACGGCAGAAGGCGCCGCAGCCACGCCUGACAUCCCAGCGACUCGGAGGCUGAGACAGGAGGAUGCACGUCAGAGGCCAGCCUCAGCAACUCAGCGAGACCCCGUCUCGAGAUAGAAACUAGACAGGGCUGGGGUGCGGCUCAGUAGUGGAGAGCCCUGGGUUCGGUCCCAGCGCCACAUGCUCACACGACAUGCAGAAGGGCAGGCAGCAGUGGAGGAGGGCCGGGGGAAGGAGGGAGGCCCUGCGGGUGGGAGUCACUGGAUUGUGUUAAGGCACCUGCCAACGUGCCACAGCGGAACCCCGUUCUGCACGACUAACGUGCGCCACAGCUUAAAAAAGAGCUCCCAACGGAAAACCCCGUGCUCGAUAGAGGAUCCGCAUCUGGAUCAACCGAGGAGGCUCAGGUGGCAGGCUGGAGAGACGGCCCGUCCUAGGGAUGACCAGAGAAAGGGCGGCUGUCACGUUGGCAGAGCCGUCCCGUUGUUGGUGUAAGAGAUGCGUAAAGACAUAACGCCACACGAUAAUGUGCGUCGAUGACGCACAGGGAUGGUCCUCCCAUGACGCACAGGAACUCUUUUCCUAUGACGCACAGGGACGGUCCUUCCAUGAUACACAGGACAAUCCUCCCAUGACGCACAGGAACUCUUUUCCUAUGACGCACAGGGACGGUCCUCCCAUGACGCACAGGAACUCUUUUCCUAUGACGCACAGGGACGGUCCUCCUAUGACGCACAGGAACUCUUCCUAUGACGCACAGGGACGGUCCUCCCAUGACGCACAGGAACUCUUCCUAUGACGCACAGGGAGGGUCCUCCCAUGACGCACAGGAACUCUUCCUAUGACGCACAGGGACGGUCCUCCCAUGACGCACAGGAACUCUUUUCCUAUGACGCACAGGGACGGUCCUCCCAUGACGCACAGGAACUCUUCCUAUGACGCACAGGGACGGUCCUCCCAUGACGCACAGGAACUCUCCUCCCAUGACGCCCAGGGACAGACCUCUCAUCUGCACUCUCGUGUUUCUGCAGUCAACACGUACUCACGUCCUGGGGCUGAUGUAACAAGUCACCACAAACCAGGGCUUAGAAUCAUGGGCGUCGUGACCCCCAGCCCUGGAGGGCAGGGGCUGAGACGGGGUCUCCACGCAGGGCCCCUGCCCAGGCUGCAGGUGGGCGUGUGUGGGGCGCUGUCCACCCGCUGGCUGUGAGGGCAGCUGGGGGGCUGCAUCUGGGGGACUGAUGGCCGUCCCUGUGUUUCCUCCAGGGAGCCACGACACCAUGACCUACUGUCUGAAUAAGAAGUCCCCCGUGUCCCACAGCGAGUCCCGCUUGCUGCAGCUGCUGAGCAAGGUGGUGCCAUGUGUGACGCGUCCCGUGGUGCUGAGGUGGUCUGUCACCCAGGUAAGGGCCACUUGGGGCCGGGAGGUGGACGGCAGGGCCAUCGCUCCGCACAAAGCAGCAGGUGCCCCUGGUGGGCGCUCUUGCCUCAUGCCGGAGAUGGGGGGAGAGCAAGACUCUGAGGCCGCCCCAGGUGGUGGAGAGGCAGGGCUUGGUCACCGGGCAGCAUCACACCCGAGGCCGCUGGUCACUGGCUGACAGGGGCCACAGGCAGGGGGUGCCUGGGGCUGGCCAAGGCGACAGGCCGUUCCUCCUGCGGCCUAGAUAGCCAGCAGCACCCUUCCCGAGGCCCCUCUCCCCACUCCGGAGGGCGCCCUGCUCCUCCCUGGCGCUUGUUCAGCUGCGGGUCAACUCCCAGAGGCAGAAGGGACCCACGCUGCAGGUUCCUAAGAGAAGGGCUCAGGAGAAAUCUUCCCUGCUGAGGGAUGGGGGUCUCUUCCCUGCUCCAGGGCAGGUGUGUGUGGGGGGUCUCUCCUUGCUGCAGGAGGAGGGGGGUCUCUUCCCUGCCCCAGGGCCGAGGCUGUCUCCUCUGGCCCCAUCAGAGAGAAGGGCAUCUCUGCCUUCACCCCAGGUGCCCCCCUCCUGCACCCAGCCCUCUGCCCAGGUGGGGCAGGUGCCCUAGACCCACCAGGGCAUUUGAUUUGAUGCUGUGCAGAGGGGGCCUCCUGGAGGCUCAGCUGGCCUCAGCCACCCCUGGAGAGGCCGGGGAAAGGGGCGCCCCUCCAUUCUGGGGAGGAAAGAAGGCUGGCAGGAAGCGGGGCCCACCCCGGGGAGGAGAUGGACCACUCUUCCUCCUCUGCCUCCUGACCGAAGACUGUUGGUGACAAAAGGUUUGAGUGUCAGGGGUUUCCCAGGGACACAAGACUGCCCCCAACGUCCAGCUCUGUCCUGUUGAAUGUACUGUUUCUGCGUCUUAGUGACCACGGGGGCAGCAGGAGCUGUGGGGACCUGCCGGGUGGGGGAUGAGCACCUGUCAGGGGUCAGAGCCUGCAGGGGGCGUCUCCUCAUCCUGCCGGGGUCUGCAGACAGUGACCCUGCAGGGGGGUGUCCCCCAUCCUGCCAGGGGUCUGCAGACAGUGACCCUGCAGGGGGUGUCCCCCAUCCUGCCAGGGGUCUGCAGACAGUGACCCUGCAGGGGGUGUCCCCCAUCCUGCCAGGGGUCUGCAGACAGUGACCCUGCAGGGGAGUGUCCCCCAUCCUGCCAGGGGUCUGCAGACAGUGACCCUGCAGGGGGGUGUCCCCCAUCCUGCCAGGGGUCUGCAGACAGUGACCCUGCAGGGGGUGUCCCCCAUCCUGCCAGGGGUCUGCAGACAGUGACCCUGCAUGGGGGCGUCCCCCAUCCUGCCAGGGGUCUGCAGACAGUGACCCUGCAGGGGGGUGUCCCCCAUCCUGCCAGGGGUCUGCAGACAGUGGCCCUGCAGGGGGGCGUCCCCCCACACCUGUCCUCUGGUGGUCGUCCUCUCCUGCCCCGGGGCUGUCCACUCCCACUGCAUGGCCCUCCCACUCUGUCUGGUGUCCUGCUGAGCACCCUGCAUCCUGACUGGGGAUGCCAAGGGCUGGGUGGAUCCAGGGCUGUGGGGCAUGCGCCCCUAGUGGGACCCCUUCCCAGAGACUGUCGGGACAAGGGUGACCGUGACUGCCCGAUGUCCCAGAGACCAGCAUUAGGGCUGGGGUGGACUGAAGCCCAGGACGGCAGCGGGCCCUGGCUGUGCAGCUGAGGCUGCUCACCCCAGAGCAGGUCUCCCCAGGGUGGGGCCCGGGCAGCUCUGGCCCCGCGUGCGGCUGGCGGUUCAGCAGACACCCAGCGGGGGCCCCAGACAGUGCUGCACAGUGCGCAACCUCAGCGCCUCCUGAGCCCCAGGGAAGGGCGAUUCACCCAGGAGGGAGCGGCAGAGAUGACGGGGCGUCCCUCGGCAGGCGCUGGACGUCACGCAGCAGCUGGACGCCGGGGUGCGGUACCUGGACCUGCGCAUCGCGCACAUGCUGGAGGGCUCGGAGAAGAACCUGCACUUCGUACACAUGGUGUACACGACGGCGCUGGUGGAGGUACACAGGGGCCUGGUGGGGCAGGAGGUCGGCUGCCAGAGGCGGGGCAGCCACGUGCAGGUCCAGGCUGGUGGUCAGACCUUGGGGAUAGCCUGAACAGCGCUCCCUGGGCUUGGCGGUCUCCCCGCUCAGUGAGCAGAGGCUCCCCACAUUUGCAAAGUGGGCGGAACCAGCCCCCAGACCCGUUAGGUUCUCGGAAUCCAUUCUCUUCCCGAAUGCCCGAGGCUUUCUAAAGUCUGAAGGGCACAAGCUGCGUCCUCCCAAAGCCUGCGGGCUGUUCCCUGUGUCCCCACCCCGUGUCCCCACUGCACCCCGGGCUCCCAGUCUAGAAGCACCUACUCUGGGUCACUUUGUGCCGCUGGCCUGGCUCACGCCCCGGAGCCUUGGGACCCCACACCUUUGACUCACAGAGGCUUGUGUUUGGAGUGUGCUUGUACACAGACACCUGCACACGUGUACACACGCAUGUGACACAGACACACGCAGAAAUGCAGACACCCGCAUACAUGCGCACACACACAGACAUGCACGAACACACACAGAUACGCACAUGCACGUGCCGUGCAGAUGGACACGUAUGCGUUUGUGUACGCGUGAACACAGGUCAGCACACAGAUCCAGAUUCACAUGUGCUGACAUGCACACAUACAGAUGUGCAUGCACACAACACGCAGGUACAGGCAUGUGCACGGACAUGGAUACAGACACCUGUGAACAGAUAUGCUCCGUGUGCACUCACACCCGUGAACAGACGUGUGCGUGCCCACAGGACCGUGCAUGCCCUCCUGUGCCUGGGCCACCCUCCCUCCUGCUGGCUUCCCCCCGCCCCCCUCCCGGGAGGCUAUGUGUCCUCUGGGCCAGUCCGGCCUCCCGUCUGCAGCCGAGGAGGCCCACCUCCCAGGAGGCCCCUGGCCCUGCUGCCCUGUGGGCCCGACUGACCCUGGCCCCUCACCCAGGACACCCUCACGGAGAUCUCCGAGUGGCUGGAGCAGCACCCCCGGGAGGUGGUCAUCCUGGCCUGCAGGAACUUCGAGGGGAUGACGGAGGACCUGCAUGAGUACCUGGUGGCCUGCAUCAGGAACAUCUUUGGGGACAUGCUGUGCCCCCGAGGGGUGAGGAGGGUGCCUGUGCCCCAGGGCUCUCCUGGGCACUGUGUCCAGGGCUUGGUGUGUGUGUCUGGUCUGGCGGGGACAAGCCGGUCAUCAGGGCCUUCUGGCUUCCCUGUGAGGGGGGCCGGGCAGCCUGGCAGGGAGGGCCUCUGGGGCGAGCGUGCAGCAACGCGAUGGUCUGUGUCACCCACCGGGCACUUGGCUGGGUCUCGGUGCCCUCACCUGGCACCCAGCCGGGGCUCAGGACACGAGACGCAGCCCUGGAGGCCAGAGGCCAGCCCCGGUGCUGACUGGGGUCCCGAGAGGAUGCGGCCACCUUCCAGCUGCUGGGGGUGUCCCGCUGUGGCCCUGGCAUCCCAUGUGUCUGUGCCCAACACCCCCUUUGACAGCACGGGGCACCCGUCACGGGAUUAGGGCCUGGCCCCUCCAGAGUGACCCAUGCAGCUGAUGAGACCCGCAAAGCCCUUCCCAGUAGGUCCCGGGUGGGGGCUUGGAGCGUGGGCUGGGGACACAGGUCGCCCUCAGCACAGCCAGGGGUCAGCUGUAGUAGGUCCUGCAUCCGGGCCAGUCCCUGCAGGUGCCCUUGUGGGUCUCAGGGCCCUGGGUCACUGCAGGUGCCCUCCUGGGACACUAAGCCACGGCGUCACCUCAGAGGCACAGUGCCGGGCGGGCCACCCAGCCCCAGGCUCCCCUCACCCGGCACCCCACCCCAGUGACCCCAUCCCUUGCAGGAGCUGCCCACGCUGCGGCAGCUGUGGGCGCGGGGCCAGCAGGUCCUGCUCUCCUACGAGGACGAGGCCUCGGUGCGGCGGCACCCGGAGCUGUGGCCGGGAGUCCCCUACUGGUGGGGCAACAAGGUGAAGUCCGAGGCCCUGAUCCGCUACCUGGAGGACAUGAAGAGCUGCGGCCGCCCGGGUAGGAGGCCGGCCCUCCCGGGCCCACGGAGGGGACGGUCAAGGAGGCGGCCUGGCCGGCGUCCCCUCACGCUCGUGUCCCGCAGGGGGCCUGUUCGUGGCCGGCACCAACCUCACCGAGGACCUGGAGUACGUGCUGGCGCACCCGGCCGGGUCCCUGAAGGAGGUGACCCUGUCCAGCCUGCCCGCGCUCAGCGCCUGGGUCCGCGAGCAGAGCCCGGGGCCCGGCGCCCGCUGCACCAACAUCAUCGCCGGCGACUUCGUGGGCGCCGACAGCUUCGUCGGCGACGUCAUCGGGCUCAACCAGAAGCUGCUGUGGGGCUGACGGUCCCCUCCGGUCAGCCGGGGGCAGCCCGGGGGCAGCCCUAACCCCGGCUGGGCGGGCACUGCUCCAGAUCCCGCGAGAAGACGUCCUCCGAGCUCCAGAUCCCGCGAGAAGACCUCAAUCCAAGGGAUGUGCCUGUGGUCAGGGGUGACCACGGGGUGGGUCCAGCGGGUGUGUCCCGGGCAGUCCCGACCACGGGGUGGGUCCAACGGAAGUGCCCUGGUCAGCCAUGGAUGUGCUCAUGGGCAUGGCCAUCAUGAUGGGUCCAGCAGAUUUGUCUGUGGUCAACGAUGACAACUGGGAUGGGUCCAGCGGGUGUGCCCUGGUCAGCCGCGACCAAGGGAUGGCUCCAACGAAUGUGCUGUGGUCAACCAUGACUGUUGGGAUAGGCCAGUGGGCGCACCCUGGUCAGCCAUGACCAUGGGGAUGUGUCCAGCGGUGUGCCCUGGUCAGCCAUGACCAUGGGGAUGUGUCCAGCGGUGUGCCCUGGUCACCGAGGCCUACUCAACCCAGCGGGAAGCAUGGCCUGUGCAGGGUGGGGAUGCCAGGAGAGGGGUCAGGGCCUCCUCAUCCUGUGCUUUAGAAAGUCCCCGCUUCCAAGAGUGUCGCGUCCCCUGGACGGAUGGGGUGGGGACCUGUGCAGAGACCCUCUUGCAGUACUCAACACAUGGCCUGGCUGUCAGCUCACUCUGACGCCGCCCUUUCCCCGGGCAGCAGGCUCCUGGGGACCCUGGUCCAUCUUGCUUUGGCCAGCUGUUAGUGGAGGGCCUGAGGGGUGGCCAGUGGGCGGUCCUGCAUCUGCAGGCCCCACAGUGUCACGGGUGGUGUGGUCUGUGUUCUAGUCUCUGCAUCCUGGAGCUCGGGCGCCUGGACUUGCAGGCCGGGGUGGGGGGGGGGACUGUCCCCAGAGGUCAGAGGCUCCUGAGACCCCGCCCCUUGCAGGCUGGCUUCUCCAGGGCCAGCGUUUCCUAGACCCUCCUGGUGGGCACCUGCUGCUGGAGGCCCUGGGCACUGAAGGAGCCCAACCCGGGCUGUUUCCCAGCCUCCUGCCCACUGGGCAGGCCCGGGCAAGGCUGGGGGCUCCCUGGGCGCUGGCCCUGCAGGCGCCGGUGACUGGGUCAAUCUGGACCUCCCGCAGCUGCUGUGGCUGGGGUGCCACCUCCCGGUCCCAGGUCCCUUUAAACCCCGCAGGUGGCCGAGAGGCCUGGUCCUGCAGCCUGCCGCAGCCCUGCAGAGCCGGUGUUCCCUGGCCAUCUGGAUGCCCACGACGCGUCACGGCACCCGUUACGGGCAGUCCUGCCGUCAAAGAAGGGCGCAGACCCGGGUGUUCAGGACCGUCUGGAAAUGGCGCCCUGGUCUGCGAAGCCUGUUGCACUUGGGACCCGCAGGGUGGUUUCAGAGGAAGCUGCUCGGGCUUUGUGGUCACCUGUCAUGGCCGUGUCACGGCCGAGACGCGGCACAGCAGGACCAGCUCUGGGCACAUCCCAGCACUGCCUGGCCCCUCCCCGCCACCAAGCACCCUGGGGACAGCCCUUGGAUGCUCAGGUCACAAGGGCGUCAUUUCCUGUCUUAGGAGCCACCAUUCAGGGUUAGUCCACCCUUGAGGACAAUUAAAAGGAACCAAGCCAAACACGA
RNAcentral lists this long non-coding RNA (11193 nucleotides) under Marmota monax (woodchuck). Lineage: Eukaryota; Metazoa; Chordata; Mammalia; Rodentia; Sciuridae. The record is from RNAcentral.